GGCCCGUUGGUCAAGUGGUUAAGACACCGCCCUUUCACGGCGGUAACACGGGUUCAAAUCCCGUACGGGUCA
This 72-nucleotide transfer RNA is filed under the name Bacillus cereus. RNAcentral's name for it is "tRNA-Glu". It matches the Rfam family "tRNA". From Rfam's summary of the family: Transfer RNA (tRNA) molecules are approximately 80 nucleotides in length. Their secondary structure includes four short double-helical elements and three loops (D, anti-codon, and T loops). Further hydrogen bonds mediate the characteristic L-shaped molecular structure. tRNAs have two regions of fundamental functional importance: the anti-codon, which is responsible for specific mRNA codon recognition, and the 3' end, to which the tRNAs corresponding amino acid is attached (by aminoacyl-tRNA synthetases). tRNAs cope with the degeneracy of the genetic code in two manners: having more than one tRNA (with a specific anti-codon) for a particular amino acid; and 'wobble' base-pairing, i.e. permitting non-standard base-pairing at the 3rd anti-codon position. Lineage: Bacteria; Bacillati; Bacillota; Bacilli; Caryophanales; Bacillaceae. RNAcentral also lists the same sequence under 10 other names. The record is from RNAcentral.